This 202-nucleotide microRNA precursor is filed under the name Oryza sativa Indica Group (long-grained rice). RNAcentral describes it as "MIR812 microRNA precursor family". It matches the Rfam family "MIR812 microRNA precursor family". The record is from Rfam by way of RNAcentral. Lineage: Eukaryota; Viridiplantae; Streptophyta; Magnoliopsida; Poales; Poaceae.
UUUAAGUGCAACCAUAAGUUUUCGUGCCUAAUUUUAAUAGUCCGUCUUAUUUGAAUUUUUUUUAUAAUUAGUAUUUUUGUUGUUAUGAGAUGAUAAAACAUGAAUAGUACUUUAUGUGUGACUUAUGUUUUUAUUUUUUGAAAAAAAAUUAAAUAAGACGGACGAUCAAAGUUUAGCACGGAAAAACAUGGCUGCACUUAAA